UUAUUUGCGCGCUAUACCUCAGUGAGUGUAAUUUUCUAUGCCGAUUAGACAGAUUUAGUUCAGAUUAAGAGAGACUAGGUAACGCUGGAUUUUAAUCCAGGAGGAGUGAGGUGAAAUGAGGCUUUACAGAGGCCAGAAUGAAAUAUCAUCUCUGCUCCACAUUCCAACCAAAGUGAGGAGAAAAUACUUGCACAUUAUCAUCUCAACUCGCAUUUGCCAAGCCUCAACGCCAAAGACAAGCUGCUCUGGCAGACACAGCCCCGGUCAGACCCGUGUGCGUAAUUCUGCAACACUGGACGAGGGGGGAUUCCGCCCCUCCAUCCCACAACCCCCUCCCAAAAUCUGGCAGGCACACAGUCACAGGUGCUCGAAUCUCAUUGGCUGUUUAUUUCCCACAAAAAUUGUAUUAGGUUUCACCUUUAUCCAUCCAAGAUUUGCUGAGCUCACAAGCUAUUUUACAGAAACACUCUGCUUCACAUUUUUAUGCACAUUCACACCUGUUAUGACGAUGGUUGCUGUGGGGACAAUAUUACUUAUUCAUGGACCGGCAGUCAUACUUCUACAUACUCACUCACACACGCACAUGCAGCUACAAUUUCUGAUAAUAUUAGGAAGUUAGGCAGCCGUUCUUUAACCGCCCAUGGGUAAUCAGUAUGACCUAUGGGAGCAUAUUGGUAUGAAUGCAUUGCAGUCACGAUAUUCAACAGCUGAAUAAUAAAUAGCCCCUCACCACGGAGGCGUACAUUUUCUGCAGAGCAUGGGACCCAAAAUUCAGAAACGUAUAAAUAAGAGAGGAUUCUACUCGACAUAUUUUACUUCUAGUGGAAAUAAAACGUCCUCACAUUUCAGAGUGACACAUGCGCAGUUCAUAAGCACCUGUGCAGCAAGCGGGCUAAAAUUGUCUGAGGAACCCACCCUCUUCAUUCAAGGUGUGCAUGGACAAAAGCUGUACUUAAAAGUUGCACAACAUGACCAAACUGUGUGCACUCAGACAUGACUAAUGUUGAGAAAUGUGUGUCAAAAAUAGCACGCUUUUAAAUGCGGGAGUAUGUGUCAUAGUGUGUCAUGGAAUUACUUAAUGCUGAACAUCAGUGGGAUCAGAUGGUUAAAAUGCCAUGUUGCUAAUAGUAAAAAGUCUACGAUCCAUAUUGCACCUAUUAAUUUGAUUAAUGGGAAAUUAUUUAUUGUACUUUUAUUAUCAUUUGGCCAUUUAAAUAUGUGCCAAGAGUAAAGCAAAUCGAACCAAUGCUUAAGUGUAACACAAGGUGCUACUCGUGGUGCUUGUUCACAAGUGAAAGAAUUCUGGUGACGUACUAGAUUAUGCAAUGUGCCUUGAUUACACAUAAAGUGAAAGAAAAGUAAUUGUGAACAUCAAGAAGACAAACGACCAGAUCCAGAGGCUCGCAGCAGGACUGAAUCUCCAGAGAGACAAGACUCGGAGGAAGAGUAAGAGGGCUCAGACAGACAGAGAGGUGGGAGGCCCAGGCAACACGAAUUUGAAAACUACGAAUGUGUUCGGUCCCUUCCAGGCUGACUGCUACACUGUACCCAUACCAGACAUUCCAGAGGCAGCGUGGCUGGCUUCAGGCUCUGAGUGGCUGAUCCUGGAACAGCAUGUUCCGCAGAGCAGUAAUCACCUCAGCCAGCCACAAGCAAGGCAGAGCACCACAUCAACAACAGGGCAGAGCUUUGUGCCUGUCAAUUUGUACCCUGAAAAAGUGGUCUGGAAUUUCAUUCGCAUUAGGAAAGGGACGCAUUUUUUUUCGCCCAUUUCUGCAAGGCCCGACCUCUCAUUUCCAUAGCCCCGCCACUUAAGACGCAACCUCAUGAUGUUGUGCAAUUUAUCCCUGCACAGUGGGAUUAGGACGAGAGGAAGCUGGAGAUGCCUGUCUGGGAAAACACCUCCCCUGGUCACCCCCUCCCCUCUCCCUCUCAGCAAACAACCCACACUCUCUAACAAGCAUAUGGGCUCCCAAUGACACAUGGAGGAGAGGGCUCAAAUCCAAGUAUUGGGAACGUUCCUGAGUAGGCGAAGCUGGAUUUCACCCCUUCGUGGCAUUGGCCCAAAGUAGGCUGACUUAAAAACUUCCUGCCCAAGCAAGAGCCAGCUUUCUGUGGCAUCUUGGCAUCUGCGCUGCCAACUAUGAACAUUAUGUUCAGAGGCAGCAAAGACAAUUGGUGCCAAGACUUUUAAUUAAGAUUGUGUUGUGGAAUGGAAAGCAAAGGCAUGUACAGGUAAUGGCUUCUAUUCGCAUUUCAAAGGUCUAACGAAAUAUGAUUAACUAACACUAUCUACCUUUGCCAAUUCAUUAUAUUUAACAGUUAAAGACCCAGAACAACCAAUUGGCCCAAGUAAGAAAAUCUGUGUGCGCUGCUCUCAUACCCAAAAGAGCAGCGAGCAUAAUUGUAUUAUAAUAAACUGAUGAUGUCAAAGAUGCUUAAAGACAGUAGGAGCAAGUGGAUGGUAUGAUGCCCUGAAAUAGUGCACUCCGAAUCAAGGUGUCUACAGUAUAGUUCCAGCUUCUCCGAUGUGAGGAUUUGCUGCUUUUCUCUUAUUGUUGGUUAUAAAACAACAUGCAAUAUGAUUACAUCAUCUUGGGCUCUGGGAACUUAUAAGGCACUCAAUUAAUUGAAAAAAUAAAAGGUAGAUUGACUGAUAAUGAAAAUAACUGUUUGUUGCAGUCAUGAACCACAUGAUGUUCUGUAGGGCCUACCAAAACAAGCAAUUUCAAGACUGGGCUCAAUUACAUUUUUCAAAAUAUUCAAAUGAAAUGAUAAAAUGUGUUGAAAGAGGGUGUCACUCUAGUCUCAAUUUCUUGAAAUAAACCAUGCAGAAUAUCAUAUUGCCUCCAGCAAUGAGUUAAAUCCCUCACUUGUGCAAGUCAGUGGUUGGCUACAUCACACAGGCCUGAUGCCAAGAUACUGAUUAGCCUAGCUAUGCCUUUGUUCUCCAGGCAAUGCGGAAUGGAGGUGCAGUGGGAGUCCAGCUCAUCACCAAAGAGCACUGUGCUAAACACAAGCUUAAGUGGAAGAAAGCCAGCAUACUGUAGUUUAUCCAUGCUGGACAUAUAAAGCCUUGGGCAAGGAGGCAUCUGCCUCUUUAAUACAUAAUUCACUCAGAGCUGAAACAUCAUGCUUUAGUCCUAAGGGCCAGUAGUCUACUUCUGGUUGUUGGAACAUAAAACUGUCUCCAACAGAUAAUCUGGUCUCAUUGACGGGCAACUUCGUGUACUAAGAAUCAAACUACAAAAGUAGGUUCAAUUUGAGCACAGAUCGGAUUUGCCUUCAAAACAUACAAAUUGAAGAAUCCAUAAGCAAUAUAAUUUACAGUAUAUUAAGAUGUUCAAAGGGUGGUUUUCAUGGUGCAGCACAUGUAUGUAGAAGCAAUGUCAUCUCACCUUUCCACCUUAUCAGCCUUGAUAUGCAGGUAGGUCAACAUGUAGAGACAGCCAUCUGCCCUCAAGCUCUCCCUUCAGACAUGCUCAUGGUCACUUUACAUCACAACCCCGGCAAAUGCAUCUUCCUCUAGAGGUAUUAUUAGAAGCACUCCUGUCUUACAGCCCACAUUAUUAUCAUAACUGACAGGAUGUGCAUUAGAUACUUCAGUCUCCGCAGCAGAUUGGCCAUAAUGUUGACUCACUAGUAUACAGGCCAUUUUGGAAUUCAGAAGAAACUGAAGCAGCUGUAGUGCUUUCAUGUGUAAUAGUCCCAGCUCAAGUUCCCACGAAAGAGGCACUAAUGGGUUAACAGUAGAAAUGAGAGGGAAGAGAGGGAAAAUCAAUGCUUUUGUUGAGGGGAAGAAAGAAAGCCUUUCACAGGUCUAUGUAUCAUUAAGCAAUUGAGAAAGCUAAUUAGAGUGGGGGGGAAAGAUGUGCAGAUCUCACAGCUAAUUAUUUCCAUGGCAACCACAGCUCCUGUAGACGAUCUGAGGUAGCAUUCAGCUGGCAAAACAGCCAGUUACACGAAGAGCAAGAGAGACCCCUAGUGGGAUAAAAUGAACAUCCUCAUGAGAAGAUGUACAAUCAACAUAUCAAUAAGAAAAACUAAUAGUGUUAAAGGUAGAAUGCAAAUCAUAAAACAUUUUAAAAUGUGACUUCAGUAGAAAAUAAACAGGUCUUUGUAUAAAAUACAUCAUACUCUGGGAAAAAACUCUAUGUUGAACUGAUGGAAAUAUAAACUGAUAAAAAACCUUAUGUUUCUUUAGUUAAUCCUGCCUUAUAGAGGGAAAUAAAUCUUUUUUUUAAAUAUAUAAAUCAAAAAGCAUAAUCAAGAAUUUGUUAAACUUAAACAUAUUAAAAUUCCAGGAGCCACACUAAGAACUAUAUGUCAUGUAAAAAUCUAUUAUUAGUAUGACAAAUAUCACUUUAUGUACUGUAUUGUAUGUUUUUUUAGCAAUACUGUAUAGGGGUCAUUCUUUUUACAGCUUUACACUCAAUGCAGGCACUGGCUUCUUACCUUUCAUCUAUUUAUUCCCAAACACACCACUAUUGUUUCUUCUGUAAACAUAGCAAACUCCACAGUGUAGGAGAGGGUUUUACUGCAGGAGUCCCCUUAGGGGUACUAAAAAUGUAAAAACUUAAAUGAACUAGCAAUGAGUUUAACCAAAACUGUGCGGUAUUAAUUGAUUAAAGAGUGAUAAGGUUACCAUGUCAAAACGUCGUGUAACGAUGCUUUGGUGGAAUGCAGUAAUAUUGUGUAGUAAUUGUAGAGACAUUUUCCAGCUCACAUAAACUGACGAGAAGACGUGUAACUGUAAGUCAAAGUUGCACUGUAUUUAAUUUUAGGUAAAAUGUAAAUAU
Long non-coding RNA from Siniperca chuatsi (mandarin fish), 4799 nucleotides. RefSeq lists it as uncharacterized. NCBI's taxonomy places the organism in Eukaryota, Metazoa, Chordata, Actinopteri, Centrarchiformes, Sinipercidae. The transcript is spliced from 2 exons. The record is from RefSeq and is a predicted model, not a curated record.